This 253-nucleotide ribosomal RNA is filed under the name uncultured bacterium. RNAcentral's name for it is "partial 16S ribosomal RNA". It matches the Rfam family "Bacterial small subunit ribosomal RNA", at positions 524 to 776 of the family's 1533-position model. The record is from RNAcentral.
UACGAAGGGGGCUAGCGUUGCUCGGAAUCACUGGGCGUAAAGCGCACGUAGGCGGCUUCUUAAGUCAGGGGUGAAAUCCUGGAGCUCAACUCCAGAACUGCCUUUGAUACUGGCGAUCUUGAGUCCGGGAGAGGUGAGUGGAACUGCGAGUGUAGAGGUGAAAUUCGUAGAUAUUCGCAAGAACACCAGUGGCGAAGGCGGCUCACUGGCCCGGUACUGACGCUGAGGCGCGAAAGCUAGGGGAGCGAACAGG